GAGCAGAUGAUGUUACACUGCAAAAUUGAUGCUGAGAUUUUAUGUCAUUGAAGUAUCAAGAAUCGAGCUUUUUAAAACUGAUGCUCU
This is a small nucleolar RNA of Ananas comosus (pineapple), 87 nucleotides long. The record is from Rfam. NCBI's taxonomy places the organism in Eukaryota, Viridiplantae, Streptophyta, Magnoliopsida, Poales, Bromeliaceae.